UUGGACAAUGGGCGCAAGCCUGAUCCAGCCAUGCCGCGUGAGUGAAGAAGGCCUUUGGGUUGUAAAGCUCUUUUGUCAGGGACGAUAAUGACGGUACCUGCAGAAUAAGCCCCGGCAAACUUCGUGCCAGCAGCCGCGGUAAUACGAAGGGGGCUAGCGUUGUUCGGAUUUACUGGGCGUAAAGCGCACGUAGGCGGAUUGUUAAGUCAGGGAUGAAAUCCCGGAGCUCAACUCCGGAACUGCCUUUGAUACUGGCAAUCUUGAGGCUGGAAGAGGUUGGUAGAAUUCCCAGUGUAGAGGUGAAAUACGUAGAUAUUGGGAAGAAUACCAGUGGCGAAGGCGGCCAACUGGUCCAGAUCUGACGCUGAGGUGCGAAAGCGUGGGGAGCAAACA
This 393-nucleotide ribosomal RNA is filed under the name uncultured bacterium. RNAcentral's name for it is "bacterial SSU rRNA". It matches the Rfam family "Bacterial small subunit ribosomal RNA", at positions 364 to 774 of the family's 1533-position model. The record is from RNAcentral.